This 412-nucleotide ribosomal RNA is filed under the name uncultured Alphaproteobacteria bacterium. Its description in RNAcentral is "bacterial SSU rRNA". It matches the Rfam family "Bacterial small subunit ribosomal RNA", at positions 66 to 524 of the family's 1533-position model. Lineage: Bacteria; Pseudomonadati; Pseudomonadota; Alphaproteobacteria. The record is from RNAcentral.
ACGGGAUCUUCGGAUCUAGUGGCGGACGGGUUAGUAACGCGUGGGAACGUACCCUUUUCUACGGAAUAGCCUCGGGAAACUGAGAGUAAUACCGUAUACGCCCUUCGGGGGAAAGAUUUAUCGGAGAAGGAUCGGCCCGCGUAAGAUUAGAUAGUUGGUGGGGUAAUGGCCUACCAAGUCUACGAUCUUUAGCUGGUUUGAGAGGAUGAUCAGCAACACUGGGACUGAGACACGGCCCAGACUCCUACGGGAGGCAGCAGUGGGGAAUCUUAGACAAUGGGGGAAACCCUGAUCUAGCCAUGCCGCGUGAGUGACGAAGGCCUUAGGGUCGUAAAGCUCUUUCGCUGGGGAAGAUAAUGACUGUACCCAGUAAAGAAACCCCGGCUAACUCCGUGCCAGCAGCCGCGGUAAU